GAUGAACGCUGGCGGCGUGCCUAAUACAUGCAAGUCGAGCGAACAGACGAGGAGCUUGCUCCUCUGACGUUAGCCGCGGACGGGUGAGUAACACGUGGAUAACCUACCUAUAAGACUGGGAUAACUUCGGGAAACCGGAGCUAAUACCGGAUAAUAUAUUGAACCGCAUGGUUCAAUAGUGAAAGACGGUUUUGCUGUCACUUAUAGAUGGAUCCGCGCCGCAUUAGCUAGUUGGUAAGGUAACGGCUUACCAAGGCAACGAUGCGUAGGCGACCGGAGAGGCUGAUAGGCCGCCUGGGAGCGGGAACGCGGUCCUUGCUACUGCGGGAGGGACCAGUAGGGAAUCUUACGCAGUGGGCGAGAACAUGACAGAGCAGGGGCAAGUGAGAGAUGGAAAUGUUGGGUGCGUAAUACUCUGUUAUGAGGGAAAAACAAAUGUGGAAGUAACUAUGCACGUAUUGACGGUACCUAGUAAGAAAGCAACGGCUAACUACGUG
This 497-nucleotide ribosomal RNA is filed under the name uncultured bacterium. RNAcentral describes it as "partial 16S ribosomal RNA". It matches the Rfam family "Bacterial small subunit ribosomal RNA", at positions 28 to 507 of the family's 1533-position model. The record is from RNAcentral.